RNAcentral lists this ribosomal RNA (776 nucleotides) under uncultured Neocallimastigales. RNAcentral's name for it is "partial large subunit ribosomal RNA". It matches the Rfam family "Eukaryotic large subunit ribosomal RNA", at positions 22 to 635 of the family's 3401-position model. Lineage: Eukaryota; Fungi; Neocallimastigomycota; Neocallimastigomycetes; Neocallimastigales. The record is from RNAcentral.
GUACACGCUGUGACUAGCAUAUCAAUAAGCGGAGGAAAAGAAACUAACAAGGAUUCCCCUAGUAACGGCGAGUGAAGCGGGAAGAGCUCAAAUUUGAAAUCUUAAAGGGUUUCCCUUUACGAAUUGUAGUUUAAAGGAGUGUUUUCUGUUGAGGUUUUGGUAAAAGUUCUUUGGAAUAGGGACAUCAUAGAGGGUGAGAAUCCCGUAUUUGACCUUUACUUUCAACUUUGUGAUACACUUUCAAAGAGUCGGAUUGUUUGGGAAUGCAGUCCAAAAUGGGUGGUAAAUUUCAUCUAAAGCUAAAUAUUGGCGAGAGACCGAUAGCGAACAAGUACCGUGAGGGAAAGAUGAAAAGAACUUUGAAAAGAGAGUUAAACAGUACGUGAAAUUGUCAAAAGGGAAGCGUUUGACACCAGUGUUGUUUUUCUGAAAAUCAAUUAAAGAACUGUUUAUGCUAAGCUGUUUAGACUUUAUCAGCUAAUCUGUUUAGUUUUGAGCUUUUCUUUAAUGCACUUUUCAGUUAACAAGUCAACAUCAAUUUCUUUUGCUGUAAAAAAGCUUGAGGAAGGUGGCUUGAGAUUCGUCUUAAGUGUUUAUAGCCUCUUGCCUAUGCAGUCGGAGAGAUUGAGGUCUGCAGCGUAAAUCCUUCGGGGCUAAAUGCAUUUGUGCUAAGUUAUAGCAUUUUAUAGACAACUUGUUGACUAUGAUUUGUCUUGUAGCUUACUCGCUUAUGUUAUUUUACCUACGCUUAGGAUGUUGAAGAUGUAGCACAUCAU